GUCCUGCAAGAACGAAGGUUGUCAUGCAGGUCAUGCCACGCAUCAUGUAUCGUGUUUUUCUCUCACGAUUAUAAAUCAGUGAACAUAUUACUUUCAACCAUGACUUUUCAGAUAAGCGAACAAUAGCAAAUAAUAAAGCAACCAACCUGUGAGAUGGCGGCGUAGCGAGCGAGGCCCCAGGCGGCCUCCUUGACGGCGAGCUCAGAGGGGCCAUUAGGGAUGCUGACGACGGUGCGCCACUUGGCGAACCGGGCGCCCUGCUGGUAGUAGGCGGCCUCGCGAGAGGCGAGGCCGUCGAGGCCCUGGCACCAGGACUCGUUGUUGGAGCCGGCGAGCGGGACGAGGCCCUUGUCGACCUUGAUCCCGGGCACGAUCCCUUGCUCCACCAGGAUGUCGACGAUCUUCCGGCCGUCGACGGCGGACUGGUACAGCGUCUCCUCGAACAGGAUGGCGCCGGAGAUGUACUGGCCCAGCCCCGGCGCCGUCACCAGCAGCGUCCGGUACGCCUGCCUGUUCGCCUCCGUGUUCUCCAGCCCGAUCGACGCCAGCCUCUUCCCGCACGUCGCGUUCGACUCGUCCAUCGCCAGGAUGCCUCGCCCCGGCGACGCGAUCGUUUUCUGUCGUAGAUCAUCAUCCGAUCAGCAAGCACUUGAGCUAGCAGCAGCAGGAGCGUCAGGAGGAAGAAGAAGGUAUAUAUACGUACGGCGGUCUUGACGAGCUCAUCGGCGUAGGCGGAGGCGCGGACGACGACGGAGACGGUGGCCGGCCGGGGGGAGGCGGCGGCUUGCCGGGUGGCGCCCCAUUCGGACUUCUUGGGAAGGAAGGAGGACUUGAGAAGGCUAGCAGCGACCAUCUCGUGUUGCUGUCGUCUCUUACACUUGUGAAGAAGACUAGUGGUAUUGUAUGCUAGCUAGGAUCGAUCGGAGCUUAGCUAGCUAGCUAGCUCACUCAGUGACCUCAGACAAGGUUCAGGUUCACACUACUUCACAGCAGCCGUCUUCUUCUGCUUCCUUGGAGUGAGAGAGCUGCAAUCAUCUGCCAUAUUUAAGCAAGAAGAAGCCAGCAGCGUACGUAAGCAGGGUGCACAAGAGCACAAGGGGAUCGGAUAUGAGUUGUGAGGCCGAGGAUGGCCUCUGGAUUUCGGUGGCUGACGCGUCACGGUUGCCUGCCUCUCACUGCCUUUGGCUCCAAUCCAAUCCUGUUGCUGUCACCAAUCACCAGCUUUUUUCUUGUCCUGAUUCCUGAUGCUCUAGGCCUCGUUUAGUUCCGAAAAGUGAAAAGUUUUCGGUACUGUAGCACUUUCGUUUGUUUGUGACAAAUAUUAUCUAAUCAUAGACUAACUAGGAUUAAAAAAUUCGUCUCGUGAUUUAUAGCUAAAUUGUGUAAUUAAUUUUUGUUUUUGUCUAUAUUUAAUGUUUCAUGCAUGUGCCAUAAGAUUUGAUGUGACGGAAAAUUUUGAAAACUUUUUGGUUUUUAGGGUGAACUAAACAAGGCCCUAGCUAUAGGCUGCUGUUGGCACACCAUCUUUCUUUUCUUUUUUUUUUCCUGUAAUAAUUUCCAUCCCAUUAUCCAUUUUCAUCUGUGCAUUGUAUGGUUAAAACAAAAAGGUUAAAAAAAAGCUGCAACGACGGACCCUACUGCAUGCAGCUCAGCCAUGGGAGUUGCUCACCUAAAAAAGGGUCGCCGGCCGGCCGGGACGGACAGAGACCUGCACCAAGUUCUGUGGACGCACCUCGCCAGCCACCGUCGCCCGUAGAUCCAUUCGCACGCCUGGCAAUGGCCGCCACCGUAGUUUUCGUCGAAUAAUUCGGGAGUUUCUUGGGGGCUUGUGGGUUCUGGCGAACUGGCGAUGGCAACGCCUGCUGCUGCUGCUGCUGCUGCGAGUUGUUUGUUGCCAUGCCCGGCCUGUGCUUCAUGUGACUCACUCACUCACUCAUUCAUGAAGACACAAGAAUGAGCAUUCAGGACAAAUGUUGCGGUCCUGCCUGCAGAUCAUCGGUCACGGCAAAUGAUUCAGUGAUCUUCAUAUACUGGAAGAAGAGGCCGAAGCCGAACUGUUCCUAUCUUUCAUUGAUUACAUACAUUACAUUCAAGAGAUCACUGGAUGGCAACACAUACAACUUGCUCCUGGCAACAAGACAAGAGUAAAAUAUCUCUGCAGGAACACCUGGAGCACAACACUGGUUUAACCAUGUCUGAACAAAUGCUCUGCACAUGGUAGAUUCUGAAUCCGCUAUCCCGUUCCUUCACAUGGAAGUAAUGCGAAACAUAUAAUUUACGAGUCCAGACAUGAUUUGUCCUAAUAUCACUAUCAUCCACAGCAUAUAUAUGAAAUACCUUUCCUCAUCAGUUAAGAGUUCAGAAAGAUGGAAAAGCAAGUAUCACACGAACAGCAGCAGGCAAGGAUGAAGACAAAUCAUGUAACCAUUCCUAAUAACACUGUGAUGAUAACAAAAACAAGUUUUGACAAAUCAUCAAUAAUAGAUAGGUUCAUGAGAACAUGUUUACAAAUCCGUUGAUACUUCAAAUGGAGGAGACCUAGGUGCCUACCUUAUGGACCACAGCGCAUUUUACACUGACAACAAAGAUCAGUAAUGGUACAAACCUGAAAUUACCAACAACAGUCAUGAAAAAGACAACAGGACUCCGGAGUAGCAUAACAUGUUCAUCUUCAGCACCUAAAAUUUGUCACUGGUACCACAGAAUGUUCUUUCCACUAACUACUAGUACCACUGAGAAUUUUAACAGCUAUUUUUGUGGCACUGGUACUAGAUCAACUAAUCAAUCUGUCAAAGCUGAUGAGGCACGGUAGACUUCAGAUGGGAGCAUCUGGAAAGCAGAAUCCUCUGAUAAAAACUAGGUCUCAGAAGGCUUCAAGAGUUCACCAAGAUUCACAUGCAAGCUGCUCCUCAUGGUUCGCCUUCCUGUUCCACCAGCAUUGCCCUUUCUCAUCAUCGCAGCAAACUCACUGUAAUCAAUUUGGCCAUCCUGGAAAGUGAUGUAUAAUUUAACAGCACCCAAUUAAAUGAAGAUGAGGCAACCGACAAGUACGGAGAUGGAGACGAAAAACAAGAAGGAUGAAGAAGACUAACAUUGUUCUGGUCCACAUCUUUGAUCAUAUCCUCAAGAUGAACAUCAGAAAGACCAAACUGCUCACAUGCUUGUGACAGCUCAUCGAUUGUUAUGAAGCCACUCCCGUCCUUAUCGAAGAAUGCAAAUGCUGACACCAAGCUUUCCUCCCUCUCCAGUUUAUUCAUGUGCAAUGUAGCCGCUAAGAACUCUCCAUAAUCAAUGGUUCCACUGUUAUCAAUAUCAGCCUGAUACAGAGGACAAACCCAGAUUACAAUCUCAAUGGUUCGUACAAUCAAAGGGAUGCUCCAGUAGAACUAUUUUAUUUGGAAAAUACACUUGAUAUAAUAGUAGCACUUACUGCAUCCAUCAAAGCCUGGAUUUCAGGUUCCAUCAGAUCCGAGCCCACCCUUUUCAGACCAUCCUUCAGUUCAUCAUAAGUUAUCGUCCCACUAUUGUCAGUAUCAAUCAUUUUGAACAACUCCUUUAAACCCCCAAUCUCCUCCUCAGAUAGACUUUCAGCAAUCACCUGCACAAACCAAAGAAAUGCCUCUGAAAAGAUCAAUUUCAAUGGCCAUAGCAUGUUGCACAUGCCAUUGUCACUUAUCAUUUAUCAAGCAUUUUUGCAACCUCAUGACGUGCUUAUUAUACAAGAAACUAAUUCACCUAGAGUUCUAGCAAACAUUAUUGCAGAACCCAUAGUGGGAACCUCAGCAUUACUUGUUCUAGUAUUAUGUCAGACAAUUAAGCAAAAGCAAAAAUCUCUUCUCUUCAAAGAAAAAAGAAAGGACAACACAUUUUUCUGAACCUCUGUUUUGGAAGUUACCAUUGUUGCCAUACGUGGCAUCCUGCUGCUAGUGUUAGGUGGCCUUUAACCAAUGGUUCAAUAGCUUUUGCUGAUCGGUAGUCAUAGAUUACCGUGGCUGGCAUCCAGGUAUGGCCAUAGUGCAGCUGAAGGGAUUGGAGACAGAAGGGUGGGGGUACGCGGGGACUGUUCUUUUGGAAAGAAAAAAGGUUCCAUGAAUUAUGAAAGCAGGCCAGCUUUGGCAGAACCACCAAUCCCACCAUAAAAAACAACAAUAGGAGGUUAAUAUAUAUUUAGUUUUGACUAUGCCUGGCUUCAAAAGUUUUAGUUUUAAAGCAGAUGUGUAUAAAUUGGCCUUUCUGAAAAAUAAAGGGGAGUAAUAUAUAUUUAAAGGUAAGUUCACAAAAAAAAAUCUAGUUAACAUGGAAAACAAGGCGAAAGAGAGAGGAAAAGAUACAUGCGAAGUUAACUUAUUACACAAAACUAAUAGUAGGAUGCAAGGUAGUGUUAUUGUUAUAACAGAAAUGAAGCAUGAAUCUAACAUCACCAUUAAACAAAGUUCUGAAUUUUGUUUGCAACAUAAUCACAUAUAAAAAAUGGGAUAAAAAUAUCUUACCCUCAAUGCCAUCUUCUUGAGCUUGUUCAUUGCAGAAAAGUUUUUCAGCCUUGACAAAACAGCAGAAUCAAUAGGCUUAUCAGGUGCAACAGAAUCAUCAACAAUCCAUGGAUGACCUGGCAUAGUCAAUGUUAAUAAGAAUGACACAGGAGCCCAAGUAUGCAUAUGAAAUAUCAGACAGUGAUGGAGACAAGGCAUUCAGGCAGAAAACUUACAUAGAACCUCAUGAGCAGUCAAUCUCUUCGCAGGAUCCCGGAUAAGCAUCUUACGGACUAGAUCCUUAGCACUAUCAGAGAUACUUGGCCAUGGUUCAGAUUCCAAAUCAAGUUUGCCUCGCAAAAUCUGCCUGAAGAUCCCUGCUUCACUCUCUGAAGGGAGGGGGAAAUAGGGAAAAAACACAUGUAAACAUGCCAAAGUAGGUGAACAGAAAUGGAUCUCAACCUAGCAAUUCAACAGUUUACCUGCCCAGAAUGGGGGUACACCACAUAGCAAAAUGUACAAAAUCACUCCAGCGCUCCAUACAUCAGCUUCUGGGCCAUAGCAUUUUUGAAGCACCUCAGGGGCAACAUAAUAGGGGCUCCCAACAACGUCAGCAAACUUAUCACCUGGAGAAUGGAAAGGGACAACUUUCAGUGUGUGUUCUGUUAAUCACUUAUUAAGCAAGCAGAAGAGAACACUAAAUCAACUGAAGACUUCAUUAAUCACUAUGCAUAAUAACAGCUGACAUUUAACACAAAUCCUAUUAGAUGUGUACAAGAAAAGGCAGUUCUUGCCAACAACCUUGAAAGCCUUAUUAGUAUAUUUAAGGAUUAAGUGUUAGAUGUUAUUAUAGUUUUGAUGUCUGUGAUAGAUUUUUUUUUAUGCUAGCAAAUGAGAUGCUAUGCAAAUGACACAUACUUAAAUAGGCUUGCUGAUGUACCAAAACAACUAAUAAGAGCACUACUCCCUACCAAACGCAAUGCUAGCCAUUUGCCCCACAUAUCACUAGAGUGUGAGGGGCCAUAUAGCAACAUUAUAUUAUACAGCACAAAAUUUCAAACCAAACAGCCUAAACAUUGCAUAGAUACGCACCGGGCUUGUAGAACACGGAGAGCCCAAAAUCAGUGGCCUUGAGCGGGGCAUCCUCGGCGGUGCUCGCGAAGAGGAAAUUCUCUGGCUUGAGGUCCCGGUGCAUGACACCGAGCGAGUGGCACCCCUGCACCACCCCAACAAUCGUCCUGAUGAGCUGCGCCGCGGCGCGCUCUGUGUAGUGGCCCUUGGCGACGAUGCGGUCGAAGAGCUCGCCGCCAGCGCAGAGCUCCAUGACGAGGUGGACGAAGAGGGCGUCCUCGUACGCGCCGCGGAUGCGGACGACGUUGGGAUGCUCGGAGAGGUGGUGCAUGAUCUGGAUCUCGCGCCACGCGUCCUCGUAGUCCUCGCGGCACAGCAGCUUGCGCUUGGGGAUGGACUUGCACGCGUACUCGGCGCCGUCCGCCUUGCCCACGCACUGGUACGUGGUGCCGAACUGCCCCUGACCCAGCUUCUUCCCGAUGCGGUAGUGGUCCCGCACGUUGUCCGUCUUGUGCGGCAGCACCGACGCCGGCCGCCCACCCGACCCCGCCGUCACCGGCGGCGGCAGCCGCACGUGCGCAUUGGCGCCGCCCGCCUUCCCCCUGCCCGGGCCUUGCGGGUCCGGCUGCAUUGCCUUCGGCGGCGGCGGUCCCUCCUCGGAUCAAGAACCGUAACCGAACGGACGCCCUGCCUUUCCUCGGCAAAACGUGGCGAGGCUCGACCACCGACCAGAAAUGGAAACCUUUUCCAACUCCGGGGGUGAUUCUAGAUUACUUUCCGAGGAAUUUACACCGAUCGAAACCGAACAACUGAAAAGAUUGGAUCUCGGUGCGGGGAACCCUCGCCUGCGGGGAAUCUGGGGGAAUGGCUGACGAAUUGGGCGCGGCAAAGGAGCUUUAGCGGAGGUUUAUCGGCCUACGCACGCCGAGGAACGGAGAAGAGAAGCCAACGGCAAGGCGAAGACGCGAAGCAACGGGAUUGCUCUGUUUCCCUGCUCCCUUUUGGAUUGAUUGAUCGAUUCUUGCGGGGGAUUUAAAGAGAGGUCACAUGCGAAGGUUGGAUUUUUCCUCCAUGUGAGGGUGGAAAUCUAAUCGGCCAGGUUUGGUGAUUGCUCGGGGCUUGGAUUGGGUCUGCAAAUGGGAACGGAUCGCUAGAGCAUGUGGGGGAGCACGUCGGUGGUUAUCGUCUUCGCCUCCUUGGCGAGAGGCGGAGGAGAGGGAGGGGGGGAAGACAGGACACGGGAGGAAGACAACGUGGUCGGAAACUUCCCUUUCCAUUUGUUUUAUUAUUUAUUAUUGUUAUUAUUUAAUUUGUUUUCCUCCCUUUAUUAUCCAAGUAGUAUCUCUUGCCACUCACUUACUGGAUCUGUUAAAUAGAUAUAUAUACUCCUACCAUAAAAAGAACUUUUAACUGCAUAUCCUUUAUGACGAAAUGGCUUUGUAGUUUCUUUUAUUAUCCUUUCAAUCUAAAAGUCUUUAUAAAGACUAACUUUGAAACUGAUGGUAUAUUUACCUCUCUAUUUAAUUAGGAUAUUAGAGUUCUUACACCGAUUUAAGACUAAUUGUGAUUUUACUCUUAUUUUUUGUGUGAUCUUACCUUGAUUGUUUUUUAAAAAAAUUGUAGCCACCGUUUGCCCUAGUUUCACCCUCAUUAGCUAAAAGCAAAUAAAUGAUUAGAAAAUAAAAAACUAUACUAACCCCUGAUUUUAUUCUAACUCUCCCGGCUUUCGUCAAUGCUUAAUUACACAUGUGUAACUUGUUAUAGUUUGCUUAGAUUUGGAAUAUCUUUAAAUUGAUUUCAUAUUGAGUCAACUUUUUUUUACUAUAUUGAGUCAACUCCUGUUCAACGUCAAUCCUUUAGGCGCUGAUGGAGCUCUUUUGUAAAAAAUAAUAAUGUUUCAAAAAUAUUGACCAAAUUUUGAUAUUAAAACAGAGGUUAAAAUCAUAGAGAACUCAAAAUACAUGGGGGCGAAUUCACAUGGAAAAUGUAGUUUUUUAUGCCAAAAUGACAGUAAACAGAUCAAGGUAAGCUCUCCUUCAUUUUGAUACGAGACUUUAAACAAGGGUAAAACACAGAAGAGCCACCUUUUAAUCUGAUUGCAAUGCCUUGACAAACUAAUAUUGACACGUCAUGGGAAAAGUUCAAAACUAUAUAUUCUCAAAUAAUUUGUUCAUAAAGCUAAGGUGAUAUAUUGGCACCCUAAUCUAGUUCUAGUGUGAACUGGUACGGACUAGUUAAUAAAUGAUGGUACGCAUCGAUCAACUAAUUCCCUUCAUUAACUUGUCCAAUUUGAGGCUGAUAAAUUAAAUUGAGAACACACUGUUAAAAUCAUGCCAAUUCCACAAUUCGGGGCCCAUAAUUUCAUCUCCUGAUUGAUGAUGGUAAUGUAGUUCUAUAAUAUGUGCCUUUUGUCUAAUAGAUAUCAUUCUUCAUUUACAAGUCAUUCUAAUGCAAUUCCAACAAUCAAUUAUUGGUUUUUCUGCGUCCAAACUAGUGCUAUAAUAUGCACGUUUCUUUUAAUUAGACUAACCUCUUCAACUACAUGUUAUUUAUUGACUGAGCUCCAGUUUCACCUGCUGCAUGUAUUUGCGACGCUAUUAUCGUACUAUAGUAAAGCUAUUUCUCUUGCUCUCGAAAAUGAAUCGAAAGUUGUUGAAGCCAUUUAUCUUCUUUUUGCUCUAGGUCCACUAUAAUGCAGAAGCUAGAGCUUGUACAAGCCUUGCAAAAUGAAACUUUUUGAUGAAUAAUUCUUUAUUUUUAGAUAUAUAAGAGCAUCUUCUAGAGUUCCCCUAUCCAAUUUUUAGGUCAAAUUAAGGUUCGUCAACAAAAUUCACCCUCCAACGGUCCCAUAUCCAUCCUCCUACAUUAGUGCUAUCCUAAAUUAUACUCUCCCUCAAAUUUGAGAGGACAUAUUGUCUUUCCUAUAUGUUAUUUGAGAUAAGGGAAUUGUUGGAGGACAAAUAUCUAGGAAAAAAAUAGUUAGGAUGCACUGCAUUUGAGAAUAUAGGAGAAUCAAGUUUAGAAUGAUUCUUGGAGAUGCUCUGUGGAGACCAUACAUGUAGUUUUUUUUGGGGUUGGGGGGGGGGGGAGUUUCUCAACAAUGUCUUUGAAUUCUUAUUUUUAUUGUUGUUACUUUAAAUAACAAUGAUCUGUAAGAAAAUAAAGUUUUUCAACAAUGUCUUGAAUUCUUAUUUUUAUUGUUGUUACUUUUGAAAAUGGAAGGUACUUGUGCGAGUUGUGUAAAAAAAGAAAACCUAUCUGUCAUACCAAUGAUAAAUCCUGAAUUACAUCAAAAUUUUAUUUCGAUAGGUAUGAUACUGUAUAUAGUGGCACAUUGCAUCAUCAAAAAUUUCUUAUGACUUGCAUAAAAUUAUUUGAUGUCCCCAUUUACACGUUUGAUGGGUUCAUGGGCGUGUUUGGUUUGCAUCUAUAAAGUUUAACUCUCAUUACAUCGAAUGUUUAGACACAUGCAUAGAGUAUUAAAUAUAGAUUAUUUACGAAACUAAAAACAAAACUAGAAAGUAAUUUGUGAGACGAAUCUUUUGAGCCUAAUUAGUCUAUGAUUAGAUACUCAUUGUCAAAUAAAACGAAAGAGCUACAGUGCCUGUUAAACUUUAACAACUCCAAUCAAACACCCCCUUAUGUUUUUUUACAACACACUGUUAGCCUACCAAUAUUCUUGACAUAUAUUCUCAUGAAAAAAAAUAUUUGCAAAGACGAAUUGAGGAGGAAGAUGUGUAAAGGAAUGAACAAUAAUGCUAAACAAGAACACACUGGAAGCAUAUAAAAAUAAAUAAAAUAUGAAAUGAUAGUGAAAGCCGUUAAUUUUUCAAUGAGAACGUGCGUCCCCACUAAUCACGUCUCCUUGUCACCUUUGACUUCUUGCACCAAACUCAUGGGCAAGUCUUCCGAUGAACCCCAAAUUAAGCAUUAGAUUCUCCUCAACGAAAACGUCAGAAAACAAAUCGCAGAAAAAAUCGAGUGUUUCAUGGCUCUCUCAGACUGCUGCCGUUGCUUUUUUUUGUUCUUCCACUAAAAUUAAGGGGUCAGAACAGUGUUUGUGAAAUUUCUUGGUAGAGUCGCAUAUAUCAGGUUUCACGCACCGAUCAAAUGGACCUAAAAACUUAAGUUAAUGGAAAAAUAUGGACAAUCCACUUAUAUUUCAACACUCCCACUUAUAUGCAACCGCAUAUAAGAUGCAAACGUGGAAAUAAAAGAGCGGAGGGCUUAAAUAAUGCCUCUGUCAAGAUUCGGACUCAUCACAUCAUAUCUGUUUUAUUCAUAUCCACCGUGUUUUGGUUUUCCAUGUUCCAUUAGUCGUGAUUUCAUUUAUUUCCAUCAUUAUUACAUAGUCAAGCGGCAUGGGCAAAUAAUGAAUCUUGAUGUCAGACAUUUGGACCUCAUCUUGAUCACCGUCCCUUCAGAGUAAAUUGUAGGGUACUACCCUCUCAGUCUCUCUCACACACACAAACAAAAGAAUAAUUAUACUGAACCGUUGAUCUCUCGCUCUGUUCAUCAGUACGGUUGGUACUGAUAUUGUUGCUGCGAUCAAGCAAAUGAGGAGUAUGAUUGUUAUUGACAUUGUUUUUUUUUUCAGAAGGUAAGAAAGUAAUCACUGCUACAGCCAUGACUGAACAAUUAGUAGGAAGAAGCUAGCCGAUUUAUACUGUACCUAAGAGUAGAAUUUAAGUAUUACCAGUUCCGUCCUCUUUGAUCUUGGGAAGCAUCACCCCCAACUGGGAGGCAGAGACUAGUUAAAUCACAGUCACAGCACAUGAUUCACAGACCAUAUGACCAAAUUAAAUAUAUAUACUUGAUCCCUCCCCAAUCAGUGUGAGUAACUUUGUUAAUCUCCACUUGAACAAGGAUGGGAGACAUCAGCCUCGGCAACGUAAACAUAGACAAAGGGAAGCCAAGUCAGUACCCACUCCUAAUCUCCUAUGCAAUCUCUUCUGUAUUCUUACUGGUCUCAUGGAUUUACGAGGCACUGCAAAGAAAGAUUGCCAUGCAUAUCUCUUGGUCUCUCAGGAAUCAUAUGCCAAGUCAUAUCAAUGACAAAUUCCUUUGGGCACAUGCCUCAACAGUACAACAAAGAGAAACAUCUCUCAUCACAAAUUGUCAAGAGCGUCAAGCCCUUGACUGGCAGGACCGCGGCUACGAAGCUCGUAGCCGUCGGCCGUCUUCUCCGGUGAGGUUAUACCCCUCUACCGUAGGCUUAGGUUUUAGAAAAGAGACAGGAGACAGGAAAUAAUUGUUAUUGCUUGUUUAUAUCAAUAGAGUCUACAGAUAUUUAUGUCCCUUCUACCUUACUCCUUUUUGCUAAAUAUCCUAUUUGGGACUAAUAUAAAUUGCUAGUACAAAGAUAAUUAAAGAUAACUGGGCCUAUGUUAGCCCCUGGACAGCUCCUGGGACUCCUGGGCCGCGCCCUCGACGCGCUGAACGCGCUCAGCCGCGCGCCUAACGUCCCGAGCCCGACGACGUCUGCUGUACGUAUUACCGUACAUGACAUCUCUCCCCUCCUCCAGUACCAGCUCGUCCUCGAGCUGGAACGUCGGAAAACGUUCGCGGAACGUAUCCCAGUCUUCCCAAGAUGAUGACGAUAGUGGCUCGCCCUUCCAACGCACCAAGACCUGUCGCACUCCUCUUGCCAGUCGCGAACGUUCCAGUCGCUCCGGCUCUGGAACUGUGGCGCCGUUGUGGAUGACGGGGAGAGGCGGGGGACUGGUUGGAGGGUCACCCUGCCACUUUUUCAAGAGCCCGAUGUGGAAAACAUCAUGGAGUCGAGCUCGGGCCGGAAGAGCCACUCGGACGGCCACCGCGUUGAUCACCUCCGUGACCUGGUAGGGCCCGAAGAAACGGGGCUUCAACUUGCCGGACGAUGGUUCCAGCGAGGCGAUGGGGCGGUGGCGAAGACGCAGCAGAACCCAGUCGCCCACAGCAUAAGACACCUCCCGAUGAGUCUUGUCAUAGUGACGUUUCUGAACGGCCUGGGCUUGUUCCAAACGGAAGCGGAUGUCUUGCAGAAAUUCUUCCCGCUCGGCCAUGGUCUUGGCCACGGCCGCCACGCGUGUCUCCCCUGCUUCAUAGGAGCGUAUGGUCGGCGGAUCCCGGCCAUAAACAAUGCGGAACGGAGUGUCGCGGAGGGACGACUGAUAUGCGGAGUUGUAGAUGAACUCAGCCUAAGGAAGCCAUCGGAGCCAUUGACGGGGACGGUCGCCGGUGAAACAACGCAGGUACAUGGUGAUCACCUUGUUCGUUGCCUCAGUCUGGCCAUCUGCUUGCGGGUGAAAUGCCGAAGUCAUGUGCAACUUUGUUCCCAUAAGCCGCAUGAGUUCACGCCAAAAUGUUGAAGUAAAGAUAGGAUCGCGAUCAGACACCAUAGACUGCGGCAUCCCGUGAAGACGAACGAUGUCGGCGAAGAACGCAGUGGCAACUGAUUCUGCUGUGUAUGGGUGAGCAAGAGGAAUAAAAUGACAAUACUUGCUAAACCUGUCCACCACGGUGAGAAUGACGGACUUCCCGCGAACUUUCGGGAGAGCUUCGACGAAGUCCAGUCCAAUGUCGGACCAUACCGACGACGGCACGGGAAGCGGCAAGAGGAGCCCCGCCGGGUGAAGUUGCUCCGACUUGAGCCGCUAACAGACUCCGCAGGUGCGGAUGAAAUCUUGCACGUGGUGGCGCAUCCUGGGGAAAUGAAAGUCACGCCGGAGUCGAUGUAGGGUGCGCUGGACUCCCUCAUGGCCGUCAUCGUGGAUAGCAGUCAUGAUCUCCAGGAGCAGCGGGGACGAAGGCGCGAUGUAGAGGCGGCCUGCAUAAGUGACCAGACCAUCGCGGACAGCCCACGGUGAAAUGCGGGUACCUGCCAAAAUCUCUUCUCGGAGAGCCACUAGGGCCGGAUCCUCGGCGUGUGCUUGACGUAGCUUGUCGAUGAAGUCGAAGCGCGGCGCUGACAAGGCAAGCACCACUCCCGUGCUGUCUUCCGUGUCGCGGCGAGAGAGAGCAUCAGCGACCACGUUCUGAGUGCCCGGCUUGUACUCCACCUCAAAGUCGAAUCCCAAAAGCUUCCCGACCCAAUGAUGUUGAGGGAUCGUAGCGAGCCUCUGGUCCAGCAGGAACUUUAAACUGUAGUGAUCUGUGCGCACGGUAAAGUGGCGGCCCCAGAGGUAUGGACGCCAAUGACGGACGGCGUGAACGAGGCCGAUCAGCUCCCGCUCAUACGCAGCGAGGGAGCGGUGACGUGGCGCGAUCGGCCGACUGAAGAACGCGAUCGGGUGUUUCUCUUGCAAGAGCACUGCGCCGAAGCCAUGCGUCGAAGCAUCACAUUCGACCACAAACGGCUUGCUGAAAUCUGGAAGAGCGAGUACCGGUGCUGUGGUUACGGCCGCCUUCAAUGCUUCAAACGCCGCAGCCGCCUCCCCCGACCAUGAGAAACCGUCUUUUUCAAUAGUGCCGUCAGAGGAGCUGCAAUGGCGCCGUAGUUGAGGACGAAACGCCGGUAGUAUCCUGCCAAGCCGAGGAAACCACGAACCGCGCGUGCCGACUUGGGCACCGGCCAGUCAUGGAUGGCCUGUACCUUGGCCGGGUCCAUGGCCACGCCCGUCGCUGUGAUGAUGUGGCCAAGGUAGGAGACCGACGUGACGCCGAAAGCACACUUGGACCUCUUGACAAAGAGGUGCUGGCGGCGGAGUUCGGUCAAAACCACCCGAAGAUGUCGAAGAUGAUCUGCCCACGACGCACUGUAAAUGAGGAUGUCAUCAAAGAAAACGAGGACAAACCGACGAAGGAAUGGUCGUAGGACGUCGUUCAUCAAGGACUGGAAUGUCGCAGGCGCGUUGCACAGGCCGAAUGGCAUCACCAAGAACUCAUAGAGACCGUCAUGCGUGCGGAACGCGGUCUUGUGGACGUCCUCGGGCUUCAUGCGCACUUGAUGGUAGCCCGAACGCAAAUCGAGCUUGGUGAAGAAGCGAGCACCGUGAAGCUCGUCCAGAAGCUCCUCCACCACUGGGAUUGGGAAGGCAUCCUUGACGGUGAGUGCGUUCAACGCGCGGUAGUCUACGCAGAACCGCCAGGAUCCGUCCGGUUUCUUCACGAGGAGCACCGGCGAGGAGAACGCCGAUGUGCUGCGGCGUACGAUCCCUUGCUCGAUCAUGGCUGCACACUGGCGUUCCAGCUCAUCUUUGUGGGCUGCCGGAUACCUGUACGGGCGCACCGCCACCGGUGACGCGCCGGGCUUGAGUAGGAUCGGAUGGUCACGGCCGCGUGGGGGGGAAGACCCACCGGGGCAGCGAAAACGUCCCCAAAAGAAUCCAGCAGGCCCUCCAACAGUGGCUCGCCCGUGGAUGCUGCUUGCUCGCGGGUGGUUGCUGCGUGUACCGUGGGCGCCGUCUUGCACGCUACUCCCGACCAACAGAUAGGCCGGCCGCCGUGAUGGAAGGACAGGGUGUGGGUAGCGACGUCCCAAGCGAUGCGCCCUAGGGUCGCCAUCCACUGGGUACCCAGCACCAUGUCAUAUCCAGUGAGGGGCAUGACGUAAAGGUCGACGUCGAACGUCAUGCCCUCGAUGGAGAUAGGUGCGUGCCGAAGGACGCCUGGGCAUGCCACCUUCUCGCCAUUGGCGACUGUGGCAGUGAGCCGCGGCCGGGGUAGGAUGGCGAUCCCGGUGCGGUGUGCUGCCGCCUCGCCGAUGAAGUUGUGCGUGGACCCCGUGUCGACCAGGGCGACGAGCGUGGCGGCGCCCAAGGUGACCCGAAGCAGGAUGGGCGCGCCCACUGUCACGCCGGCCACAGCAUGGAGGGAGAAAACGGGAGUCUCUGCAGCCGCGUCGUCCUCCUAAUCAGCAGCACCUCCAUCGACGUCAUCAAUCUCCACACCAUCCAUGAAGAAGAUGCGGCGGCAGAACCUGUUAUGGCCACGUGAAUACUUUUCGUUACAAUUGAAGCACAGACCUUGGCGGCGGCGCUCGGCCAUCUCUUCCGGGGUGAGGCGGCGUUGGUUUCCUUCGACUCGGCCCUGCUGAGCAGCCGCAGGUGGUGCCGGGAGCGCCAAGAGAGGCGGUGGAGCCGGCGCGACAGCCCGCACCAUGGGAGCCGGUGGUCCGCGCUGAGGUACCCGCGGUGGAGGUGGCGUCGGUCGCUCCUGCUCCAUCAACUCGAUCUGGCGGGCCAGGCUCAUGGCGGCGGAUAGGGAGUCCGGGCUGUGGAUGCGGACGGCGUGGCUGAGUGGCGGUAGGAGCCCUCCUGUGAAAAGUUGGACCCGUUGUGCCUCAUCCAGGCGACCGGCGCGAGGCAACAAUGCCUGGAACCAAUUGGCAUACUCCUCCACGGUCCCUGUCCGGCGGCACUCGACGAGUUCAAACAACGGGGCGGAACGGAGGGGAGGGCCGAACCUCAAAUUCAGCAGAUCCUUGAAAUUUCCCCAUAGCGGCGUGCCAUCAUCUUCCUGCAGCUGUUGGAACCACAGCUGUGCGGUGUCGUCCAGAUGAUACGACGCCAUGCGCACGCGCUCUUCUGCCAUGGUUCGGUGUUGGCGAAAAUAAGCCUCGCAUUUGUUGAGGAACAGCAUGGGAUCGGUCGUGCCGUCGAAGCGGGGGAAGUCCCACUUCUUGUGCUUCGGGUGGAAGUCCUGAUCGUGCAGACCCUCCAGGCGUCUGCCGUCGGCGCCACCGAACGACGAUGACUCGGACUUCUCCUUCAUCGAGGCCAUGUCGGCCUUCAAGGUCGUCAUCUCGUCGGACAUAGUCUUGAGCUGCGCGAGGACAUCGGCCAGGGUGGGUUCAGCCAUGGUUGGGGACUGUGCAGUGGACGCUGUGGAGGGGGUCGGGAAGAUGGCUGCUGGGCGAGGUGGGCGGCGGCGGCGGCGGCGGGAGGUGGAGCGGAGGCGGAGGUAGAGGAUCGCCGGAUAGCUGAUACCAAGUUGUCAAGAGCGUCAAGCCCUUGACUGGCAGGACCGCGGCUACGAAGCUCGUAGCCGUCGGCCGUCUUCUCCGGUGAGGUUAUACCCCUCUACCGUAGGCUUAGGUUUUAGAAAAGAGACAGGAGACAGGAAAUAAUUGUUAUUGCUUGUUUAUAUCAAUAGAGUCUACAGAUAUUUAUGUCCCUUCUACCUUACUCCUUUUUGCUAAAUAUCCUAUUUGGGACUAAUAUAAAUUGCUAGUACAAAGAUAAUUAAAGAUAAUUGGGCCCGUGUUAGCCCCUGGACAGCUCCUGGGACUCCUGGGCCGCGCCCUCGACGCGCUGAACGCGCUCAGCCGCGCGCCUAACGUCCCGAGCCCGACGACGUCUGCUGUACGUAUUACCGUACAUGACACAAAUUUUGACCGGGCAGUUUGCAACCUUAUGCAUGUUCAUUCAUAUAUCUUUCACAUAUUUUUACAAGAUAGUUUGCAGAUAAGCAUUGAGCAUAAUGAUGGCCAAGUGGAGGAUGCUCUUAUUUUUCUGGAGCAAUCCAAGUGGAGGAUUUUUAUACAAACUUGACUUUGUUAUGCCUGACGACUCAUUCACAUGAUAGCUUCCUUUGACCAUAUAUUAUACUAAGUUGCUAGCCACUAACCAAAGAUUCAGAAAAGGAGGCCUCAUCUGGACAUGCUACAGUGCUGAUCAUUCAAACUCAAAGCUUUAACAUUCCAGGUCACCAUUGUUGAACUGCAAGAAGAAGAAGAAAAGCUAGCUGGUAAAUAGUGUUGCCCAUGAUCCUACAACAUUGGUUGAUUGUUGAUCAGAGUCAGACCUUUAAAGUAAGCAUUCCAGAACAGCAUGAUUCAGCUCCCAGAAAAAACCACUAGUGAUUAUCAUGAUUCCACAGCUGUGCAACAGAUUUAUGUUGCUCCGAGUCUUCAGAUUUUUCCUGUGUCAUGUGUGGAUGGAUGAGAUCUGGCUUUCUGCUCUCAUGGUUCCAUGAACCUCACCAACCAACACCUGUGGGGCAGUGGCAAGCUUCGGUCAUCAUUAGUCGUUAGCACUGGCACAAGCUCAUGGAUGCAAAUGGUACAUGUCCUUGACUGAUGCCGUUGCACCAUGCCAUCUAGUUCACCGACAAGUGACAACAACAUACAGAUCGAAGCAGUGGCACAGGGUUUUGUUUGCAGGCACAGCACUGCAGCAGGUAACAUGCAAAAGGAUUUCUCUAUUUGCAGUACUGAAAAGGGACCCAUAUAUGUUGGUGCUGGACCCCUGAACUGAAAUAGGUCCUAUAACUCUAAUGGGGGGUCAUUCAAACAAAAAAGUUAUGUUGUAGAGCUAAAUAGGCCCAUCAUGAGCUCUAAGAAAUAUCAGAAUAGAGCUAAAGAAGGCUCAUCUUGGGCUCUAAAUAAUAUCAAAUAUUGGUGGAUGCAACCAUCCUAGGCUAAGCUUGCAGUUUUAGGACGAAUCUUUCUUUAAGUAAAGUACUAAAUUUGCAAGUCAAUUAUCCUCAAGCCAGCAUUCAAGUGGUGUAUGUCAACAGAAACAUAUAGCUUGUUCCAGAAACAUGGUUAUGGAAAACAGUGGCUUUAGCAUGAGGUAGAACAGAGAGAAAGAUAGAAAAGACCCGACGCCCGCGUCGCUCUCCCUCGAGGGUGACCGGGCGGCCCCAUCUGCCGCCGCCGCAGGUCCCUCCCCAGCGCCUUCUUGGCCCGGCCACCGCCGGAGCUUGACACCGGGAAUCCAACGGACGGCAAGGACGGCGGCGGCUCGGCCCUCUGCAUCCUUUCUCUCCCUCUCGCUAAGCCUAUGCGGGAGUUCCGACGCCGACACAGUGAAGAUGGCCGGCGACGCUUCUUCGGUGUGGGUGUGGGCGGAUCUGGCUCCCCCAUGCCCGGAUCAAUGUGCAGGCAACCUCCUACCUCCUCCUCCUCCUCCUCCUCCUCCUCCUCCGCUGCCACUUCAUGUUCCUCUUCUCCGACUCCGGUGAGGUUGGGGCGGCCGGUGUGCUCGUCAGGCCCAGAUCUGCAGUCUCCGCACCGGUUUGCGCAUCCCCUGCCUCUUCUUCCUCUUCUCUGCCGACUCCAGCAACCUCGAGUGCUCGGCGGCCGUGACGGUGUGCGGCAGCCGCCGCGCAUGACGGAGGGUCUAUCUGGAGAUAAGAUGAGACGGCGUUCCACGAUGAGGGAGGAUCAUGACGCGGAUGUUGUUGCUGCUGCAUGAGCAUGUUGGGUGGGGCGGACGUGUCGUUCUCAUGCAGCGGCAGCCUGCUCUUCUACCUAGGUCUCAGUCCACCGUCCCCGUGUGGCGGUGGACGGCACCAACAUCUCUUCACCAAGAGACCUCUUGGUCGGUGUUGGUGCGCGCCUCUGCGACGUGUGGCGGCGACUGACACUAUCGGUGCGCGCCUCCCGUUGUCGUGGGCGAGUCUGCCGGUGCGCGCCUCCUGUCGUCGCGGGCGAGUCCGAACGGCUCCGCGGCAUGUGGCGGCGACUGGUAACGCCAAUGCGCGCCUCCUGUUGUCGCGGGCGAGUCCGAACGGCUCCGCGACGUGUGGCGGCGACUGGCACUGCCGAUGCGCACCUCCUGUCGUCGCGGGCGAGUCCGAACGGCUCAGCAGCGUGUGGCGGCGACUGGCACUGCCGAUGUGCACCUCCUGUCGUCGCGGGCGAGUCCGAACGGCUCCGCGGCGUGUGGCGGCGACUGGCAGCGAUAGUGUGAGCCUCCCGUUGUCGCGGGCGAGUCCGAACGGCUCCGCGGCGUGUGGCGGCGACUGGUUGUGCCAGUGCGCGCCUCCCAUUGUCAUGGGUGAGUCCGAAAGGCUCCGUGGCGUGUGGCGGCGACUGGUCGCGCCAGUGCGCGCCUCCCGUUGUCGCGGGCGAGUCCGAACGGCUCCGCGAUGUGUGGUGGCGACUGGCACUGCCAGUGCGCGCCUCCCGGCGUCUCGAGCGAGUCUGUAGGGCUUCGUGGCGUGUGGCGGCGACUGACAUUGCCGGUGCGCGCCUCCCGUCGUCGCGGGCGAGUCCGAACGGCUCCGCACGACAUGUGGCGACGACCGGCAGGAACACUUGCAAAUAUUUCUGGGCGAAAGCUCAGCUCAGAUCAUGUCUGGGCCAGUGACAAGAUUUUCCUUCUUAAAGGUGUCGCUGAAGAACAUUUAGCCGCUUCUUCUCAUGGGCCAUUUGUUGCAGCUUUCCGUCGGCACAAGGCUCAGGCGAAAGCCUUGCCACGCUUCUGCUUGGCUACGAUGAUUACGUUCUAACGUCAUUCACCUCCUUGGGGGCAUCGUCAAAGAGCUUUCGUGUCUCACGUGUGGUAGUCCUUGCUUUUCGUUUGUGUUUUUGUUUUUGUGGUUUUUGCCACUUUUCGCCCUAAUGCUGGGGCUGUUCGGUGUUGUUGUAGUUUCUUCCUAAACUUUUGUAAAAUUUAUAUCAAGCCGUUUUGAGCUACAUUAUAUAUUUUUAGGUGGGGAGUAAUCCUCCGGUGACAUUAAAAAAAACAGUAGCUUUAGCCUACCUUCCAAAUGAAGAUUGGAGAAGAGAGGGAGGGGGGGGGGGCAGGGCACAUUAGAGUAAUUUCAUGAGACACUGCACAUAUUACAAACAUAAUGCGAGUUAUUUCUCCACUUACCUUGCAGAUAAGCAUAAUGCAGUUUCUGGACUGCUUGGGGGUGAUACUAUAUAUGACAGCAUACCUUCUCAAGUUAUUUAUUACUGAGCUGACAGUGUUUUCCUGAAUCCUGACUGACUUAAUGCAACCUCGUUUUUUUGGAAAACAAAGCAAAACGCUAAGGGCACUCCCAAUGCACAAACCAUCGUGGUUUCUAUAGACAUUAAUUAUAGUGUCACCUAAGCAUUUUGCUGAUGUGGCAAAAGAGUUAUUGAAGAGAGAGCAAAAAUCAUAAAAACUAGGUCUAAAUUAGAAACCAUGUCUAAGUUAGAAACUAUGUAUACACAAAAUCCAAGACAUGAAGUGAUCUAAUUGGUUAAGAAUGGAGAGAGAAUGAAUGUGAUUGGGUAAAAAAAUAUUCUAUAGAAACUAUCUAUUGAGACCAUAGUUUAUAUAUAUAGUGUCUAUAAAAAUUAAUACAUAUUUUUUUGAGGAAACAAGAGGAGUACAGGCACUCCUACUGAAAAAUUUAUUAAGGAAAACUAUCUAUUAGGACCAUAGUUUCUAUAUAUAGUGCUAUAAAAAUUAAUACAUAUUUUUUUAGAAACAGGAGGAGUACAGGUACUCCUACUGAAAAAUUUAUUAAGGAAACAUCAUUAAUACAUAUAGAAACUAUAUAUAGUUUUUAGCAUUGGGAGUACCUAAUAUGCUAGGUAAAUUUGGGGAAACUGGGCUAAAGCAAUGACCGCUAAUGACAAGCUACCGAGCUCAAACUAGUGCUCAUCGUUGCCACCAAUUGAUUUAUGCCGGAAUGGCCAACACAAGAUAGGAACUCCAAAGCGAUACCUCCAAGGAAGUGCAUGAGGCUGAAGGCCCUGCCUCGCCGUCCAUAGACCAGAGUUGGGCAUUCACCCAUAUAAUUCAGACAGGUUGUCUGUAUACAAGACCUGGGUCCUCCAAUAAUUAAGGUAGCAAGAUUGUUCCAAGGCUCACAAAGCCAACAUUCCAGAGUCAUCAGUGAUCCCAGUUCCCCAAAACGAUCGAAAGUACUCAAAAGGUAAACGGUCAGGGUUUCAAUGCUGCGCAUAUUUGAGUAGUAGAUAUGACAGAGGAGAUUAAGCACACGACAGUAAGAGUAGAUCAUGCAUUGGUUAUGUCAGUGGUUUCAUUCUCUGAAACAGAAGGGCUGAUAGAUUGCCAUAUGAGACCUAGUGUGCUACCCAUCAUGUUCAUGAUGACAGCUGAGAGUGCAGGAGGGAGGGCGACCAAGGGUGAGGAGAAAUGUGCAGUUGCUAAAACUACCCCUAAGGAUGAGUUUUGCAUUCCUACCUGCAAUCCAGAAGAAGAAAACCUAUAUUAAAAUUUUUCAUAACACCAUGCACAAAUUAAUUCUCUUCAUUGCAGUUCUGAAUGAAUGACAAUCAAGUAGAAAGCAUUGUACAGAAAAACAUGGUCAAAGCAACAGAAUUAUUGUUGCAAGAUUUCUUAUCCGUCCUUGGAACUUAUGAGCUUCGCUCACUACAUACAAUAUAAUAGUCUCUAUGGUCAGAAUACGUGAUGUUUUCAGACAACAUAUGAUCUGCAAAAAUGCAGCCUUGUCUGCUGUUUGUACACCUCUUAAUUUAAAUGUAAGUGUGCUGGAAAACUUGCUUGAUUUGUCUACUUCAGUAUUCUAUACAUGGUUUCAAAACUGGAUAUAUAAAUCCUCCGUUUUACUGGCCAUAUUGAUUGGGAAAUGUGGUUAGAUCUGGUCAGGAUCCAUACCUCAAUAGAUAUUGCUCUCCUUUGUUUUUCUUUGAAACCACCAAUAGCUGCUGCCGCAUAACUGUUUGUCAUAGAGCCAUGUAAACAUUUAGAAAUCUGGAUGACAAGUGGCGACAACUUCUGAUACAAAAUUUGUGAAGCGCACUACACAUAAUCUGUUUGUCACACUCACCCAACAAAGAAACCAGCAAAAUGCAGCAAGAAGACAGAGAGCAUGACAAUGCCAAUAUCCCUGGAGAAGAAGUUCCCACUCACAGAGGAUGCAUCGGCAAUUGUCGAUCUUAGGCGCACAAAGUUCUCAGAGAAGACACUGUAACAUUAAAAAAGGGUUAAAAGGAUGCAGAGUUUCUGCUAUUCCCAAGCCAAUAUGACAUGGUAAAGGAUCUGAACCUGCAUGCCAGAAGGGAUGAAGCCAAGACUGCCAUCAGAGGUGCAAAAGGAGUCACAAAUUGAACUACUGAUGGGAAUGCAGUUUGUAUCGAUGAACCUAAUAGAAUUGGGGCAACCACCACCUGAAGGGGAAAAUGGUUAGAGAAAACAAGAAUAACUUUUGUUAUGCACAAAUGGCAUCAGAAAUUUCACCUGCAAAGUACUGAGGGAGAGCUUCACAGCAUCCACGGGAAUAUAAGCACCGGCAAGAAUUUUUGUUAACAGAGGAGUAAGGAACACUGCAGCAAGAGUGCUGCAGACAGUCAUCACGAUGGAUAAUGGAACAUCACCUUGAGCAACUAAAGUCACCUGCACCACCAAACGAAACAAUUAGGUAAGAUGUGUACAUUUCUGCAAUUCUGCUUUUAGUGCGUGUAUAGGAACAUCAAAACUGCUAGCUUAUACUGAAGUUAAAAACAACCAAAGUACUCUACUACUAUUGGCAUCUCAAUUCCAAUGUUCAAUGAACACAAGAGUGUGAACACUGAAUUGCAUAGUUUGGCCCUUGAAGCUUUCAGUUCACGUAAGUUUCAGUACAUAUAUAUCCAACAAAGUGAAAUUUGGCCAUAGGAAUAAAAGAGAAGGGGACCCAAAAAAAAAAAUCCCCACUCUGUAACAGAAAUUGGGAGUGCGUGACAAGCUGGGUUUAGCUGACAGUGUUACCACAUUGGAUGCAGUUCCUCCAGGACAGCAUCCCAGCAGGAUUAGUCCAGCUGAGAGGGGCGGGGGAAGCCCCAGCGCGUGGCUAACGAUGGCGCCAAACGCCGGCAUUAUGGCGUACUGCGCGGCACACCCGAACAGAAUCUGCAGCAGCAAAAACCACCCUUCAGGUUGCAUUGCACGGGACGGGAGGAGAGGGAGAUCGAGGAGCAACAAGGGAUCCGGGUCCGGUCACGUACGGCGAGGGGCCUGUCGCGGAGGAGGGCGGCGAAGUCCCUGAGCUGGAGCGCGAGGCCCAUGGCGAGCAUGAUGAAGCCGAGCGUGGCGGUGUAGGACCCCGGCGCCAGCGCCACGAACCACCGGAACGCCUCGGGCCGCGCGACGGCCACGGAGGCCGGGUACAGCCCCGCCGCCGCGGACAGCGCCGCGUGCCACCGCGGCGUGGGCGCUGGCGCGUCGGGGCCUCCGGCGGGUGCCGCGAGGCAUUGGACUUGGGCUUGGAGGGCGGGAAGGCGCAGGAGCAGGCGCCGCCUGGGGAAGGGGCGAGGGGACCGUGGCCUCGGCGCGAUCCUCGAGGUGGAGCUCCCGGCGGCGGCGGGGAUGGGGCGGAGGCGGAGAGGGAGAGAGAGGAGGAGGGGAGCCAUGGCGGUGGCGCGAUCCGGGAGGUGGAGCUCCCGGCGCGCGGUGGUUGGUUUUUGUCCCGUGCAGAGCAAGUGAAGUGUAGCGCAGAUCAUUUUGGCGGGCACCGUUGUAAGGCGGAGUUCCUGAAAAUACGCCUUCACCUAUCGAAGGCAGGUUCGUAGUGUUCAAAAGAAGAAGGUUGGUUUCGUGGCUUUUCUUUAAUUUUUUUCAUAUAUAAAUUGUGUAUUAGUGGCUUUUCUCAGUCGUAUAUCUAGGACGGUUUUGGUCAUAAUCUUUUUUCCUGAUGUCUUUCAGCUAUAAUAUUGUAGACCGUUUAGAUGUCCGUUAGAAGAGUGUUGUUUGUAUGGUUAAACUCUUCUAGCUUAAUUAUAAUAUUACAUAAAUCUUUUAUGUAUUCAAGAAAAAAGACAUCGGAUAUUAAAAAUCUUUGAGAACUAUAUUAUUUAUUGUCAACGAAGCAAUGAUGGGAGAAAUAUUUGUUUUUUUUUCUACCUAUAAAUGGAGAGGAAGAUACUUGGACAGUUGACGCAGUGCGCGUUACGAUGCUAAAAAGAAACGUCCGUACACCACCUCACCUUGAUGCCGAAAACUAUUUAAAGUUGCAGUUUCAGGUGGGACAACCAGCUGAAAAAUACUUUCUCUUUUUAAUUUUGUGACAUCGAUGAAAGAUGACUCGAGCAGUGUGAUUUUGUUCAGCAUCAGCUCACCUCGAUGCUCCAAUGUCCUCUCUCGCGUCUUAAUUUCAGCAUCGAUAAAAAGCAAUGUUGUGUGUGGUCUUACUGAGCAUUCGCAAUCAGUAGUUAAAUGUCCAUGUUUUGGUAAUGGUAGUAAGCAAAAGGAUUAGGCGAGGAAAGUAGGCGUCCUAUACUGUCAUCUAUUGCAAAUAUAAGAUCUGUCAUUUGGGUGAGGCACUACCACCACCACUACAAUCUUUGUAAAGUACUCCAUAGUUUUAAACUAUAGGUUAUUUUGGUCUUGUUCUAAAUUCAACUUAUAUAGCUUUGACCAAGUUUUUAGAGACAUAUAUGUCUAUAAUAACAUAUUAACAUAUACAAGCUUUUAAAUAAAUGCACUGCCAGGGCCAAGCUAUAUUGUUUUUUUUUUGAGGAAUAUGGAGGGGUUUACACCCCUACAACAUUUAUUAAAAAAAUAAAACAAAGGUAGCAUUACAAGUUCAAUUACAACAAAAGGCUGGAAAAAAAAUCAGCUAACAAAGAAAGACACAAGGAACAGGAGCCUGUAAAUUGCCAGGCAAGUUGCUAAGGCAGAUUUGCAAUCCAUUGUUCAAUUGAUGGGAAGUAGGUCUUUGCCCUUAGUAGAAGAAGGUUCAUUUCCUCCUUGAAGUAGCUCGUUGUCCUGUGCACUGAUGGGUUAACUCCUCUGAAGAUUAGAUCAUUUCUGGCUUUCCAAAUGGCCCACGCCAUGAGGAUGAUUAUUUUCAUGAAGAAUGGGACUCUGAUUUGAUCCUUGAAGCUUUGCAUGAUCUGGAAAGGCUGUAGUGUCUGACCAAUCUGAAUGUUGAUGUAUCCCCAGCUUUGAAUAGCAAAAGGGCAUUCUAGAAACAAGUGUGCCAUCGUUUCAUGUGUUACCAGAUUGCAAAGAACACAGUUAUAGCUGGGAAGAUGCAUAUGUUUCCUUCUCAGCAGUUCUCUCGUGCUUAAUCUGUCUCUUAGAAUCAGCUAAAAGAAAACCUUGUGUUUCAUUUGGCAAGAAGAUGCUCACAGCCACUUGAAGGCUGGGUGAACUGUCUGAUGCCCUUUAAGUUGUCUGUAUGCUAUGUGAACUGAGAAUUUAGCCGAUUGCCAAAUGUAUGACCACUUGUUAGGCUUAGUGUUAGUGUUUGUAUUUACAAACAUCUGUUGCAAAAGGAUCAUUUGUGAGUGAGCCUGUUGUGACAAGGGUAAAUGAAACAAGCCAUGUGUAGGUGUCUGAUCAAUAGUAGCUUUCAGAGUGAUGCUUUUGUUUUUUUGCAAAUGAGAAUAGUUGUGGAAAUUUUUGUGCAGCGACUUCAUCAUCCCAUAAGUCCUCCCACAGCAGACAUGAUUCACCACUCCCCACAUUGACUCUUGACAUCCCUUUGAACUUGAUUAUCAGUUUCUGAAUAUCUCUCCACCAGAAGGAGCCUUUUCUUUGGUUUCCUGGAAGCUUUCCGGAGCUAUAAUAUUUUUCCCAGAUUAAAGACACCCAUGGAGUGGGUUCCUUGUUGAAGAAUUUGAUCAAUAGUGCUUUAUUUUGAGCCUGUAUGUCCAACACUCCUAGCCCCCCAUCCUGCUUUGCAGUGCAUGCAAUUGUCCAAGCUACUUUAGGCUUUUAUCUUGCAUUGAUAUCAGAUCCUCUCCAUAAGCAUAGUUUUCUAAACUUAUCAAUCUUCUCAAUUACAUUCCGUUGCAGUACGAAGGUACUCAUACAGAAAGUUGGCAUGGAGGUGAGUACUGCAAAGCUAUAUUGUAAUUAGGAGGUGCAAAUACAUCCCCUAAAAAUUAUAAAAACAGUGAUUAGGUCUAAAAUUUCACUAUAUAUGUAUCCUCUACGGAAGAUGUCUAUGCACUCACAAGCUAAGUGCAUCCUCCUCUAAUUUACUUUAACUUCGCCACUGGAUAGUUCAAUGUAGUGACGAGAACAAAUCUGAACUAUCUUGGCCUGCAUGCUCUGCUGCCCGGAGUCACCGCACAUGAGGCGCCACAAUGGGUCCAUGGGCCAAUAUAUGCAGAUCAACUACAUUGGACCAGCCAGUGCUGCCAGGGCCUCAUGGGCCAAUGUGUUGCAUCGCGGGCUGGUUGCACACGUGAUUAACCAAGGCACAAUGAUGGUGGUUCGGUAUCUAUAUUUCUUCUUUAUUUCAGGCUUUUUUUUAUCCAUCCAUUCCUUUUUAUGUCUUUCUAAUCCUAAUCUAAAUAGAUUCUGAGUACUCUAAAUAGAACUCUUCUAUAUCUAUACCUAAUAAUAAAUAGGUAAAAUUUCUUGCCACCUUAGAUUUUGGUCCAACUCUCAUCUCUAUUCGGAUUCUGGUUCCUUUGUCCGAUAAUCCUCCUUGUCCGGUAAUCCUUCUUCUCAAGCUGCUAAGCCAAACUAGACACCUUCAAGGAGAUGUUUGGUUGGGGGUAUUAAAAUUUAACAGGUAGCAUUUCGUUUUAUUUGAUAAUUAUUGUGCAAUCAUGGACUAAUUAGGUUUAAAAGAUUCGUCUCACAAAUUAUUCUCUAGCUAUAUUUUUAGUUUUGUAAAUAGUAUAUAUUUAGUAUUCCAUGUAUGUAUCUAAACAUUUGAUGUCGUGGAUGGAUAAAAAGAAUCACAAGUAGCCAAACGGGAGAAGUUCCUGUUGUGUCCAGCUAGGACACAAGACAUGCUGCCCCACACGUCAGCUUACAUCCCAUAUCCAUGCAUCAACCGACCCAACAUGCAUACAUCAUGCAUAUGCACGAGCACCUUAAUUAGCUGCCCACUGACGCAUCCACGCACGUGAUCUCAUGUUGCUUGCGCACACCACUUAUUGCCUUCUUCGGUAACACUGUCCCAACUACACCGGCCAAAACAAACAUUACACUAUAGCCUACACAUCUUCCAUAUACAUCUCACAGAGUGAUUGCCUUCAAGUACAUUAUUUUCUAGUCUAAACAUCUGGAUAACAUUUUUGACCAAUAGAACCUUAGUUCCUCGGCGACCUGAGCGAGAUCAAGACGAGGAUAUGCAACACCAACGAUACGGGGCAAGGUUGAGGAGAGAGGAGACAACGACGUGGAGGAGGCUCCUAAGUCGUUGAGGCAUGCGGCUGCUGGGGCUCCAUCACAUGGACCUGCCAGGCUACUGAGACGCCGUCGCGUGGAGCUACCUAGGUGUUCUCGUGUUGGGAUUAUGUGGCCGCCAGGAUGCUGUGAA
Molecule: long non-coding RNA, 26414 nt
Filed under: Sorghum bicolor (sorghum)
Lineage: Eukaryota; Viridiplantae; Streptophyta; Magnoliopsida; Poales; Poaceae
Description: long non-coding RNA (SBIC_LNC013560)
Source: RNAcentral